GCCUGGGUGGCUCAGUCGAUUAAGCGUCUGACUUCGGCUCAGGUCAUGAUCUCGUGGUUCGUGGGUUCAAACCCCACCUCGGGCU
RNAcentral lists this transfer RNA (85 nucleotides) under Felis catus (domestic cat). It matches the Rfam family "tRNA". Rfam says of the family: Transfer RNA (tRNA) molecules are approximately 80 nucleotides in length. Their secondary structure includes four short double-helical elements and three loops (D, anti-codon, and T loops). Lineage: Eukaryota; Metazoa; Chordata; Mammalia; Carnivora; Felidae. The record is from Rfam by way of RNAcentral.